This 500-nucleotide ribosomal RNA is filed under the name uncultured bacterium. Its description in RNAcentral is "partial 16S ribosomal RNA". It matches the Rfam family "Bacterial small subunit ribosomal RNA", at positions 30 to 523 of the family's 1533-position model. The record is from RNAcentral.
AUUGAACGCUGGCGGAAUGCUUUACACAUGCAAGUCGAACGAUGAAACCUAGCUUGCUAGGUCGAUUAGUGGCGAACGGGUGAGUAAUAUAUCGGAACGUAUCCAAUAAUGGGGGAUAACUAGUCGAAAGAUUGGCUAAUACCGCAUACGUCCUACGGGAGAAAGCUGGGGAUCGUAAGACCUGGCGUUAAUGGAGCGGCCGCUAUCUGAUUAGCUAGUUGGUGGGGUAAAGGAUCACCAAGGCAACGAUCAGUAGCUGGUCGGAGAGGACGACCAGCCACACUGGAACUGAGACACGGUCCAGACUUCUACGGGAGGCAGCAGUGGGGAAUUUUGGACAAUGGGCGCAAGCCUGAUCCAGCCAUUCCGCGUGAGUGAAGAAGGCCUUCGGGUUGUAAAGCUCUUUCGCAAGGGAAGAACACUCAAUCUCUAACAUAGAUUGAGGUUGACGGUACCUUGAUAAGAAGCACCGGCUAGCUACGUGCCAGCAGCCGCCGCAG